Non-coding RNA from Callithrix jacchus (white-tufted-ear marmoset), 745 nucleotides. Lineage: Eukaryota; Metazoa; Chordata; Mammalia; Primates; Cebidae. The record is from RefSeq and is a predicted model, not a curated record.
UGUGUAUGCUUUUUUCCCUGUUAAUCUGUCUAUUGUCUGUUCAUUUCAGUAGAUUAAACCCUCAGAGGGGAGGAAAAAUUCUCUUUACUCCUAUAGUUCCCACCAGCAACAGUGAGGGCACAGGGCCAGGUCUGGGUGCUGGCUGGUGCUGUGUGCCCCACUGUAAGGCAUUUCUCAGCUCCACAUCUUUCACUUUAAUUGAAUUAAAGCCCAUAAGGAGAUGUAACUCCCAGCAAUGUUUGUCAAUGUGGAGCCUUUGAAAAUGAUGCAACAAUUUAACAGCAGAGGACAUUCUUUGUCAAAAUAAUAGCGUAGAAACAUUUUACUGAUGUGACAUAUGCUAUUUGUAAUGCCUAUUUGUGGGGAAAGCAUAAUCUCAUUUUUAAAUGAAAAAUUACACACACACAUACACACACACAAGCCUGGGAAGCUAAGAACACACAGUGACAUGUUAACAGUGUUACUGCUGGAUGGUAAAGGGAGGGCUGAUGGGCUAGCGAUAUGUGGCAUGGUAACCUCUCUUGACGCUGGGCAGUGGCGGCAAGCACAGCUCCCAGUCAGCCAUGCAAUCAUCAGGAUACGUGUGGCUCAGGACACCCUGCUGUCAGAGUUUCACUAUCCUAAGCACAAUGUAACAACUCAUAAUGGCCACACAGUGUUUUGGUAACAUGGAGGAAUAAAAAAGUUGUAUAAACGGCAUCAAGAUUCCCUUAAGACUAUCACGCUAAUAGAAGCAAUAAACAUC